Non-coding RNA from Macaca mulatta (Rhesus monkey), 420 nucleotides. NCBI's taxonomy places the organism in Eukaryota, Metazoa, Chordata, Mammalia, Primates, Cercopithecidae. The record is from RefSeq and is a predicted model, not a curated record.
AAACAGAAAGUCAUUCCACUUAUCUAUGCUCUUCUCAUUCUCUUUUGAUGCAGCACCAGUGAUUCAGUUUGAGUCAGACAUCCAACAACAACUGAGCAAAAGCAAUGGUGACUCACAGAUAGAAGAGACUGAGGCCAACAACCAAAGCAAAGGAUAGCAGAACUGACACAUUGCUCAGAAAAUAUCCAAAGCUCUGACUCCUCCCUGCUAUAGCAUCCAAAUGAAAAGGCAAGACUGAAGCUCACCAACUACCGUAAAUGAUGUCUUUGUGUCAGAGACACUGUUACGUGUUCCCCAAAUCCAUUUCAUUUUCCUCCUGACACGCAGCUAGACUAAUUUCUCCAUGUCUACUACAGUUAGAUGGAGCCACAUGACUGAGUUCUGACCAAUCUAAUGAGGUAAAAAUGAUGCAUAUUAUCA